AUUGAACGCUGGCGGCAUGCCUUACACAUGCAAGUCGAACGGCAGCACGGGUGCUUGCACCUGGUGGCGAGUGGCGAACGGGUGAGUAAUAUAUCGGAACGUACCUUAUUGUGGGGGAUAACGCAGCGAAAGCUGUGCUAAUACCGCAUAAUCCCUAAGGGGGAACGCGGGGGACCGUAAGGCCUCGCGCAAUUAGAGCGGCCGAUACCUGAUUAGCUAGUUGGUGAGGUAAAGGCUCACCAAGGCAACGAUCAGUAGCUGGUCUGAGAGGACGAUCAGCCACACUGGGACUGAGACACGGCCCAGACUCCUACGGGAGGCAGCAGUGGGGAAUUUUGGACAAUGGGGGCAACCCUGAUCCAGCAAUGCCGCGUGAGUGAAGAAGGCCUUCGGGUUGUAAAGCUCUUUUGUCAGGGAAGAAACACCGGCUCUAACACAGUCUGGGAAUGACGGUACCUGAAGAAUAAGCACCGGCUAACUACGUGCCAGCAGCCGCCGUAA
RNAcentral lists this ribosomal RNA (501 nucleotides) under uncultured bacterium. RNAcentral describes it as "partial 16S ribosomal RNA". It matches the Rfam family "Bacterial small subunit ribosomal RNA", at positions 30 to 523 of the family's 1533-position model. The record is from RNAcentral.